UUCCGCAAUGGGCGCAAGCCUGACGGAGCAACGCCGCGUGAGGGAUGAAGGCCUCUGGGCUGUAAACCUCUUUUCUCAAGGAAGAAGAACUGACGGUACUUGAGGAAUAAGCCACGGCUAAUUCCGUGCCAGCAGCCGCGGUAAUACGGGAGUGGCAAGCGUUAUCCGGAAUUAUUGGGCGUAAAGCGUCCGCAGGCGGCCAGUCAAGUCUGUUGUCAAAGCGUGGAGCUUAACUCCAUUUGAGCAAUGGAAACUGAUUGGCUUGAGUGUGGUAGGGGCAGAGGGAAUUCCCGGUGUAGCGGUGAAAUGCGUAGAUAUCGGGAAGAACACCAGUGGCGAAGGCGCUCUGCUGGGCCAUAACUGACGCUCAUGGACGAAAGCCAGGGGAGCGAAAGGGAUUAGAUACCCCUGUAGUCCUGGCCGUAAACGAUGAACACUAGGUGUCGGGGGAAUCGACCCCCUCGGUGUCGUAGCCAACGCGUUAAGUGUUCCGCCUGGGGAGUACGCACGCAAGUGUGAAACUCAAAGGAAUUGACGGGGGCCCGCACAAGCGGUGGAGUAUGUGGUUUAAUUCGAUGCAACGCGAAGAACCUUACCAGGGUUUGACAUCCUGCGAAUUCCUGAGAAAUCGGGAAGUGCCUUCGGGAGCGCAGAGACAGGUGGUGCAUGGCUGUCGUCAGCUCGUGUCGUGAGAUGUUGGGUUAAGUCCCGCAACGAGCGCAACCCACGUCUUUAGUUGCCAGCAUUAAGUUGGGCACUCUAGAGAGACCGCCGGUGAUAAACCGGAGGAAGGUGUGGAUGACGUCAAGUCAUCAUGCCCCUUACAUCCUGGGCUACACACGUACUACAAUGCUACGGACAGAGGGCAGCAAACUCGCGAGAGCUAGCAAAUCCCAUAAACCGUGGCUCAGUUCAGAUCGUAGGCUGCAACUCGCCUACAUGAAG
RNAcentral lists this ribosomal RNA (945 nucleotides) under Synechococcus sp. G3.1B. RNAcentral's name for it is "bacterial SSU rRNA". It matches the Rfam family "Bacterial small subunit ribosomal RNA", at positions 364 to 1325 of the family's 1533-position model. The record is from RNAcentral. Lineage: Bacteria; Bacillati; Cyanobacteriota; Cyanophyceae; Synechococcales; Synechococcaceae.